Molecule: RNase P RNA, 349 nt
Filed under: Pseudoxanthomonas sp. GM95
Lineage: Bacteria; Pseudomonadati; Pseudomonadota; Gammaproteobacteria; Lysobacterales; Lysobacteraceae
Description: Bacterial RNase P class A
Rfam family: Bacterial RNase P class A
About the family: Ribonuclease P (RNase P) is a ubiquitous endoribonuclease, found in archaea, bacteria and eukarya as well as chloroplasts and mitochondria. Its best characterised activity is the generation of mature 5'-ends of tRNAs by cleaving the 5'-leader elements of precursor-tRNAs. Cellular RNase Ps are ribonucleoproteins.
Source: RNAcentral
GGAGCCGGCCGGACAGUCGCGUCAUUCGAAAGAAUGCCGAGGAAAGUCCGGGCUCCACAGGGCACGGUGCCAGGUAACGCCUGGGCGGCGCGAGCCGACGGCCAGUGCAACAGAAAGAUACCGCCGAUGGCCCGCAAGGGAUCAGGUAAGGGUGAAAUGGUGCGGUAAGAGCGCACCGCGAGUCUGGUAACAGACCGGCACGGUAAACCCCACCGGGAGCAAGACCGAAUAGGGACCUCAUGGCGCUGCCCGCGUCGGGUCCGGGUAGGUUGCUUGAGCGUAUCGGUGACGAUGCGCCUAGAGGAAUGACUGUCCACGACAGAACCCGGCUUACAGGCCGGCUCCGCCA